RNAcentral lists this ribosomal RNA (2904 nucleotides) under Escherichia coli. RNAcentral's name for it is "23S ribosomal RNA". It matches the Rfam family "Bacterial large subunit ribosomal RNA". Lineage: Bacteria; Pseudomonadati; Pseudomonadota; Gammaproteobacteria; Enterobacterales; Enterobacteriaceae. The record is from RNAcentral.
GGUUAAGCGACUAAGCGUACACGGUGGAUGCCCUGGCAGUCAGAGGCGAUGAAGGACGUGCUAAUCUGCGAUAAGCGUCGGUAAGGUGAUAUGAACCGUUAUAACCGGCGAUUUCCGAAUGGGGAAACCCAGUGUGAUUCGUCACACUAUCAUUAACUGAAUCCAUAGGUUAAUGAGGCGAACCGGGGGAACUGAAACAUCUAAGUACCCCGAGGAAAAGAAAUCAACCGAGAUUCCCCCAGUAGCGGCGAGCGAACGGGGAGCAGCCCAGAGCCUGAAUCAGUGUGUGUGUUAGUGGAAGCGUCUGGAAAGGCGCGCGAUACAGGGUGACAGCCCCGUACACAAAAAUGCACAUACUGUGAGCUCGAUGAGUAGGGCGGGACACGUGGUAUCCUGUCUGAAUAUGGGGGGACCAUCCUCCAAGGCUAAAUACUCCUGACUGACCGAUAGUGAACCAGUACCGUGAGGGAAAGGCGAAAAGAACCCCGGCGAGGGGAGUGAAAAAGAACCUGAAACCGUGUACGUACAAGCAGUGGGAGCCUCUUAAUGGGGUGACUGCGUACCUUUUGUAUAAUGGGUCAGCGACUUAUAUUCUGUAGCAAGGUUAACCGAAUAGGGGAGCCGAAGGGAAACCGAGUCUUAACUGGGCGUUAAGUUGCAGGGUAUAGACCCGAAACCCGGUGAUCUAGCCAUGGGCAGGUUGAAGGUUGGGUAACACUAACUGGAGGACCGAACCGACUAAUGUUGAAAAAUUAGCGGAUGACUUGUGGCUGGGGGUGAAAGGCCAAUCAAACCGGGAGAUAGCUGGUUCUCCCCGAAAGCUAUUUAGGUAGCGCCUCGUGAAUUCAUCUCCGGGGGUAGAGCACUGUUUCGGCAAGGGGGUCAUCCCGACUUACCAACCCGAUGCAAACUGCGAAUACCGGAGAAUGUUAUCACGGGAGACACACGGCGGGUGCUAACGUCCGUCGUGAAGAGGGAAACAACCCAGACCGCCAGCUAAGGUCCCAAAGUCAUGGUUAAGUGGGAAACGAUGUGGGAAGGCCCAGACAGCCAGGAUGUUGGCUUAGAAGCAGCCAUCAUUUAAAGAAAGCGUAAUAGCUCACUGGUCGAGUCGGCCUGCGCGGAAGAUGUAACGGGGCUAAACCAUGCACCGAAGCUGCGGCAGCGACGCUUAUGCGUUGUUGGGUAGGGGAGCGUUCUGUAAGCCUGCGAAGGUGUGCUGUGAGGCAUGCUGGAGGUAUCAGAAGUGCGAAUGCUGACAUAAGUAACGAUAAAGCGGGUGAAAAGCCCGCUCGCCGGAAGACCAAGGGUUCCUGUCCAACGUUAAUCGGGGCAGGGUGAGUCGACCCCUAAGGCGAGGCCGAAAGGCGUAGUCGAUGGGAAACAGGUUAAUAUUCCUGUACUUGGUGUUACUGCGAAGGGGGACGGAGAAGGCUAUGUUGGCCGGGCGACGGUUGUCCCGGUUUAAGCGUGUAGGCUGGUUUUCCAGGCAAAUCCGGAAAAUCAAGGCUGAGGCGUGAUGACGAGGCACUACGGUGCUGAAGCAACAAAUGCCCUGCUUCCAGGAAAAGCCUCUAAGCAUCAGGUAACAUCAAAUCGUACCCCAAACCGACACAGGUGGUCAGGUAGAGAAUACCAAGGCGCUUGAGAGAACUCGGGUGAAGGAACUAGGCAAAAUGGUGCCGUAACUUCGGGAGAAGGCACGCUGAUAUGUAGGUGAAGUCCCUUGCGGAUGGAGCUGAAAUCAGUCGAAGAUACCAGCUGGCUGCAACUGUUUAUUAAAAACACAGCACUGUGCAAACACGAAAGUGGACGUAUACGGUGUGACGCCUGCCCGGUGCCGGAAGGUUAAUUGAUGGGGUUAGCGGUAACGCGAAGCUCUUGAUCGAAGCCCCGGUAAACGGCGGCCGUAACUAUAACGGUCCUAAGGUAGCGAAAUUCCUUGUCGGGUAAGUUCCGACCUGCACGAAUGGCGUAAUGAUGGCCAGGCUGUCUCCACCCGAGACUCAGUGAAAUUGAACUCGCUGUGAAGAUGCAGUGUACCCGCGGCAAGACGGAAAGACCCCGUGAACCUUUACUAUAGCUUGACACUGAACAUUGAGCCUUGAUGUGUAGGAUAGGUGGGAGGCUUUGAAGUGUGGACGCCAGUCUGCAUGGAGCCGACCUUGAAAUACCACCCUUUAAUGUUUGAUGUUCUAACGUUGGCCCCUAAUCGGGGUUGCGGACAGUGUCUGGUGGGUAGUUUGACUGGGGCGGUCUCCUCCUAAAGAGUAACGGAGGAGCACGAAGGUUGGCUAAUCCUGGUCGGACAUCAGGAGGUUAGUGCAAUGGCAUAAGCCAGCUUGACUGCGAGCGUGACGGCGCGAGCAGGUGCGAAAGCAGGUCAUAGUGAUCCGGUGGUUCUGAAUGGAAGGGCCAUCGCUCAACGGAUAAAAGGUACUCCGGGGAUAACAGGCUGAUACCGCCCAAGAGUUCAUAUCGACGGCGGUGUUUGGCACCUCGAUGUCGGCUCAUCACAUCCUGGGGCUGAAGUAGGUCCCAAGGGUAUGGCUGUUCGCCAUUUAAAGUGGUACGCGAGCUGGGUUUAGAACGUCGUGAGACAGUUCGGUCCCUAUCUGCCGUGGGCGCUGGAGAACUGAGGGGGGCUGCUCCUAGUACGAGAGGACCGGAGUGGACGCAUCACUGGUGUUCGGGUUGUCAUGCCAAUGGCACUGCCCGGUAGCUAAAUGCGGAAGAGAUAAGUGCUGAAAGCAUCUAAGCACGAAACUUGCCCCGAGAUGAGUUCUCCCUGACUCCCUGAGAGUCCUGAAGGAACGUUGAAGACGACGACGUUGAUAGGCCGGGUGUGUAAGCGCAGCGAUGCGUUGAGCUAACCGGUACUAAUGAACCGUGAGGCUUAACCUU